RNAcentral lists this ribosomal RNA (135 nucleotides) under uncultured Alphaproteobacteria bacterium. RNAcentral's name for it is "partial 16S ribosomal RNA". It matches the Rfam family "Bacterial small subunit ribosomal RNA", at positions 355 to 507 of the family's 1533-position model. Lineage: Bacteria; Pseudomonadati; Pseudomonadota; Alphaproteobacteria. The record is from RNAcentral.
UGGGGAAUCUUAGACAAUGGGCGCAAGCCUGAUCUAGCCAUGCCGCGUGAGUGACGAAGGCCUUAGGGUCGUAAAGCUCUUUCGCCAGGGAUGAUAAUGACAGUACCUGGUAAAGAAACCCCGGCUAACUCCGUG